RNAcentral lists this ribosomal RNA (151 nucleotides) under uncultured Glomus. Its description in RNAcentral is "5.8S ribosomal RNA". The stretch from base 49 to 151 matches the Rfam family "5.8S ribosomal RNA", at positions 1 to 100 of the family's 154-position model. From Rfam's summary of the family: 5.8S ribosomal RNA (5.8S rRNA) is a component of the large subunit of the eukaryotic ribosome. It is transcribed by RNA polymerase I as part of the 45S precursor that also contains 18S and 28S rRNA. The record is from RNAcentral. Lineage: Eukaryota; Fungi; Glomeromycota; Glomeromycetes; Glomerales; Glomeraceae.
CUCUUAUAAAUUGAAUCAUUUUAUAUUAUGUAUGUAAUAAAUAAUGAUCACUUUCAACAACGGAUCUCUUGUUUUCUCGCAUCGAUGAAGAUCGCGGCGCACUGCGAUUAAGUAAUGUGAGUUGCAGUAUUCCGUUGCAUCAUCGAAUCUU